This 229-nucleotide ribosomal RNA is filed under the name uncultured bacterium. RNAcentral's name for it is "partial 16S ribosomal RNA". It matches the Rfam family "Bacterial small subunit ribosomal RNA", at positions 568 to 796 of the family's 1533-position model. The record is from RNAcentral.
CGAGUAGGCGGUAGGGCAAGUCCAAGGUGGAAGCCUAUGGCUUAACCAUAGAAUUGCCUUGGAAACUGUUUUACUUGAGUCAGUGAGGGGAGGGCGGAAUUCCUGGUGUAGCGGUGAAAUGCGUAGAUAUCAGGAGGAAGGCCUGUGGCGAAGGCGGCCCUCUGGCACUGGACUGACGCUGAGGCGCGAAAGCGUGGGGAGCAAACAGGAUUAGAUACCCUGGUAGUCC